Molecule: ribosomal RNA, 398 nt
Filed under: uncultured bacterium
Lineage: Bacteria
Description: bacterial SSU rRNA
Rfam family: Bacterial small subunit ribosomal RNA
Source: RNAcentral
GGUAUAUUGGACAAUGGGCGCAAGCCUGAUCCAGCCCUGCCGCGUGAGUGAUGAAGGCCCUAGGGUUGUAAAGCUCUUUUGUGCGGGAAGAUAAUGACGGUACCGCAAGAAUAAGCCCCGGCUAACUUCGUGCCCGCAGCAGCGGUAAUACGAAGGGGGCUAGCGUUGCUCGGAAUCACUGGGCGUAAAGGGUGCGUAGGCGGGUUCUUAAGUCAGAGGUGAAAGCCUGGAGCUCAACUCCAGAACUGCCUUUGAUACUGGGAAUCUUGAGUUCGGGAGAGGUGAGUGGAACUGCGAGUGUAGAGGUGAAAUUCGUAGAUAUUCGCAAGAACACCAGUGGCGAAGGCGGCUCACUGGCCCGAUACUGACGCUGAGGCACGAAAGCGUGGGGAGCAAAC